This is a regulatory RNA element of Gracilibacillus halophilus YIM-C55.5, 38 nucleotides long. It matches the Rfam family "Ribosomal protein L19 leader". From Rfam's summary of the family: This family is a putative r-protein leader autoregulatory structure found in B. subtilis and other low-GC Gram-positive bacteria. It is located in the 5' untranslated regions of mRNAs encoding ribosomal protein L19 (rplS). The record is from Rfam. NCBI's taxonomy places the organism in Bacteria, Bacillati, Bacillota, Bacilli, Caryophanales, Bacillaceae.
ACGAUGUUCCGCUGUCUAAGGUUAGGCAAGAGCAUUAG